UGGGGAAUAUUGCACAAUGGGGGAAACCCUGAUGCAGCGACGCCGCGUGAGCGAAGAAGGUUUUCGAUUCGUAAAGCUCUGUCCUAUGAGAAGAUAAUGACGGUAUCAUAGGAGGAAGCCCCGGCUAAAUACGUGCCAGCAGCCGCGGUAAUACGUAUGGGGCGAGCGUUGUCCGGAAUUAUUGGGCGUAAAGGGUACGUAGGCGGUCUAUUAAGUCAGGUGUGAAAGCGUGAGGCUUAACCUCAUUAAGCACUUGAAACUGAUAGACUUGAGUGAAGGAGAGGAAAGUGGAAUUCCUAGUGUAGCGGUGAAAUGCGUAGAUAUUAGGAGGAAUACCGGUGGCGAAGGCGACUUUCUGGACUUUUACUGACGCUCAGGUACGAAAGCGUGGGGAGCAAACAGG
RNAcentral lists this ribosomal RNA (403 nucleotides) under Verrucomicrobiota bacterium. Its description in RNAcentral is "Verrucomicrobia bacterium partial 16S ribosomal RNA". It matches the Rfam family "Bacterial small subunit ribosomal RNA", at positions 355 to 776 of the family's 1533-position model. Lineage: Bacteria; Pseudomonadati; Verrucomicrobiota. The record is from RNAcentral.